Molecule: long non-coding RNA, 222 nt
Filed under: Elaeis guineensis (African oil palm)
Lineage: Eukaryota; Viridiplantae; Streptophyta; Magnoliopsida; Arecales; Arecaceae
Description: long non-coding RNA (EGUI_LNC013869)
Source: RNAcentral
GUAGCACCAAAGUAAUUAAACAUAUCCAAAAUAAUGCCCAUACAUCAAAUGUCCAAAAUGUUCGAUAAUAAAAUAAUAUUAAUCCUUAUGUCGCUUAGCUAUGUAUCUCUCAAUGUCUUCCCUUCAAGUACUUCUGUGAUCCAUCAGAAUAAUGUGCCAUAUGAGCUCUGUACCAGUUCAUAUUGUAAGUCUAUGCCACUGCUCAGAAUUCCUCACCACUCC